UACGUAGGGGGCUAGCGUUGUCCGGAUUUAUUGGGCGUAAAGAGCGUGUAGGCGGCCAAGUAGGUCCGGUGUGAAAACUCGAGGCUUAACCUCGAGAUGUCAUCGGAAACCAUUUGGCUAGAGUCCGGAAGAGGAAAGUGGAAUUCCUGGUGUAGCGGUGAAAUGCGUAGAUAUCUGGAGGAACACCGGUGGCGAAGGCGGCAUUCUGGACCAUAACUGACACUGAGAGACGAAAGCCAGGGGAGCAAACGGG
RNAcentral lists this ribosomal RNA (253 nucleotides) under uncultured bacterium. RNAcentral describes it as "partial 16S ribosomal RNA". It matches the Rfam family "Bacterial small subunit ribosomal RNA", at positions 524 to 776 of the family's 1533-position model. The record is from RNAcentral.